CUUUAUGGCAGGCCGUGCGGGGCAGGCUUCGGCCUGGCCGGUUCCCCUGGUUUCCGGUUUCUGACCCCCGUACGGUCUGCCACCCAA
Molecule: non-coding RNA, 87 nt
Filed under: Phytopseudomonas flavescens
Lineage: Bacteria; Pseudomonadati; Pseudomonadota; Gammaproteobacteria; Pseudomonadales; Pseudomonadaceae
Source: RNAcentral